Molecule: transfer RNA, 83 nt
Filed under: Schistocephalus solidus
Lineage: Eukaryota; Metazoa; Platyhelminthes; Cestoda; Diphyllobothriidea; Diphyllobothriidae
Rfam family: tRNA
About the family: Transfer RNA (tRNA) molecules are approximately 80 nucleotides in length. Their secondary structure includes four short double-helical elements and three loops (D, anti-codon, and T loops). Further hydrogen bonds mediate the characteristic L-shaped molecular structure. tRNAs have two regions of fundamental functional importance: the anti-codon, which is responsible for specific mRNA codon recognition, and the 3' end, to which the tRNAs corresponding amino acid is attached (by aminoacyl-tRNA synthetases). tRNAs cope with the degeneracy of the genetic code in two manners: having more than one tRNA (with a specific anti-codon) for a particular amino acid; and 'wobble' base-pairing, i.e. permitting non-standard base-pairing at the 3rd anti-codon position.
Source: Rfam by way of RNAcentral
GGCCUCGUAGCUCAGUUGGCUAGAGUGCUGGCUGUACUAAACCCUUCCUCUUACUGUAGUGGGUUUGAAUCCCACCGAGGCCA